This is a long non-coding RNA of Macadamia integrifolia, 367 nucleotides long. RefSeq lists it as uncharacterized. The transcript is spliced from 2 exons. The record is from RefSeq and is a predicted model, not a curated record. NCBI's taxonomy places the organism in Eukaryota, Viridiplantae, Streptophyta, Magnoliopsida, Proteales, Proteaceae.
GUAGAACCAAGAAGUGACAGGAUAAUGCAGCAUGAGACCAUCGGCUGUCCACUAACACUUGAGACUCGAGAUGAUGAUGCAGGUACGGUCGUGCUUAUGGCUUAUGACUCUCUUUCCUCUGGUCCAGAGGAUGGAGUGAGCGGCUGGUGGAUGCUAGAAGUAAGGGAGCAUGACCAUGACUGUGCUUGUGACUUCUGCGCAUAUACAGCACCAUAAGGUGUUUGGCGUAUUUUUGUUAUUCUAAUACAGAAUUGUGGAUGGUAUACUUUUGGACUUAUUACUUAUAAGUCAUGGAUGAUUGUAAUGGAAUAACUUGGUUAUAUAUAUAUAUAUAUAUGAUAUCACUAGAUGUUCCUCAUUUUAUUUA